RNAcentral lists this ribosomal RNA (512 nucleotides) under uncultured bacterium. RNAcentral's name for it is "partial 16S ribosomal RNA". It matches the Rfam family "Bacterial small subunit ribosomal RNA", at positions 28 to 507 of the family's 1533-position model. The record is from RNAcentral.
GAUGAACGCUGGCGGCGUGCCUAAUACAUGCAAGUCGAACGAAACUUCUUUAUCACCGAGUGCUUGCACUCACCGAUAAAGAGUUGAGUGGCGAACGGGUGAGUAACACGUGGGCAACCUGCCCAAAAGAGGGGGAUAACACUUGGAAACAGGUGCUAAUACCGCAUAACCAUAGUUACCGCAUGGUAACUAUAUAAAAGGUGGCUAUACUACCGCUUUUGGAUGGGCCCGCGGCGCAUUAGCUAGUUGGUAGGGUAAAGGCUUACCAAGGCAAUGAUGCGUAGCCGAAUUGAGAGGUUGAUCGGCCACAUUGGGACUGAGACACGGCCCAAACUCCUACGGGAGGCAGCAGUAGGGAAUCUUCCACAAUGGGCGAAAGCCUGAUGGAGCAACGCCGCGUGGGUGAAGAAGGUCUUCGGAUCGUAAAACCCUGUUGUUAGAGAAGAAAGUGCGUGAGAGUAACUGUUCACGUUUCGACGGUAUCUAACCAGAAAGCCACGGCUAACUACGUG